GAAAGAAGAGAAAGUGGAGGAGAUGGAGAGAUGCUCCAUUGCUUUCAGAGUAAUGUAAGUUAUAGCAACAAGAACCAUACAAACCCUCUAUUAUGAGGCUAAGAGUCUUCUAGCGGUGGUUCGCCCUCGAAUAAUUACAAAAGAUGCACAAGAGAAGUUAUCGGUAUAACUGUCGGAUGUGCAAGUGGACUACUGAUAUUCACAUCCAUUUUCUAUCAAUGGUGGAUGAAGGAUGCACCUGGCCAUGUGUGAGUGCA
Magnolia sinica is the source of this 257-nucleotide long non-coding RNA. RefSeq lists it as uncharacterized. The record is from RefSeq and is a predicted model, not a curated record. Lineage: Eukaryota; Viridiplantae; Streptophyta; Magnoliopsida; Magnoliales; Magnoliaceae. The transcript has 3 exons.